RNAcentral lists this ribosomal RNA (504 nucleotides) under uncultured bacterium. RNAcentral describes it as "partial 16S ribosomal RNA". It matches the Rfam family "Bacterial small subunit ribosomal RNA", at positions 30 to 523 of the family's 1533-position model. The record is from RNAcentral.
AUUGAACGCUGGCGGCAUGCCUUACACAUGCAAGUCGAACGGCAGCAUGGAGAGCUUGCUCUCUGAUGGCGAGUGGCGAACGGGUGAGUAAUGCAUCGGAACGUACCGUGUAAUGGGGGAUAACGUAGCGAAAGUUACGCUAAUACCGCAUACGACCUGAGGGUGAAAGCAGGGGAUCGCAAGACCUUGCGUUAUACGAGCGGCCGAUGUCGGAUUAGCUAGUUGGUGAGGUAAAGGCUCACCAAGGCGACGACCUGUAGCGGGUCUGAGAGGAUGAUCCGCCACACUGGGACUGAGACACGGCCCAGACUCCUACGGGAGGCAGCAGAGGGGAAUUUUGUACAAUGGGGGCAACCCUGAUCCAGCCAUGCCGCGUGAGUGAAGAAGGCCUUCGGGUUGUAAAGCUCUUUCAGCCGGGAAGAAAUCGCACAGGCUAAUACUCUGUGUGGAUGACGGUACCGGCAUAAGAAGCACCGGCUAACUACGUGCCAGCCGCCGCGGUAA